RNAcentral lists this ribosomal RNA (581 nucleotides) under uncultured bacterium. RNAcentral describes it as "partial 16S ribosomal RNA". It matches the Rfam family "Bacterial small subunit ribosomal RNA", at positions 355 to 932 of the family's 1533-position model. The record is from RNAcentral.
UGGGGAAUUUUGGGCAAUGGGCGAAAGCCCGAUCCAGCAAUGCCGCGUGUGUGAAGAAGGCCUUCGGGUUGUAAAGCACUUUUGUCCGGAAAGAAAUCCUUGGCUCUAAUACAGUCGGGGGGAUGACGGUACCGGAAGAAUAAGCACCGGCUAACUACGUGCCAGCAGCCGCGGUAAUACGUAGGGUGCAAGCGUUAAUCGGAAUUACUGGGCGUAAAGCGUGCGCAGGCGGUUUGCUAAGACCGAUGUGAAAUCCCCGGGCUCAACCUGGGAACUGCAUUGGUGACUGGCAGGCUAGAGUAUGGCAGAGGGGGGUAGAAUUCCACGUGUAGCAGUGAAAUGCGUAGAGAUGUGGAGGAAUACCGAUGGCGAAGGCAACCCCCUGGGCCAAUACUGACGCUCAUGCACGAAAGCGUGGGGAGCAAACAGGAUUAGAUACCCUGGUAGUCCACGCCCUAAAACGAUGUCAACUAGUUGUUGGGGAUUCAUUUCCUUAGUAACGUAGCUAACGUGUGAAGUUGACCGCCUGGGGAGUACGGUCGCAAGAUUAAAACUUAAAUGAAUUGACGGGGUCAUAGCUG